AUGGCCAUCGUCCUCAUCGGCCUCUCAUGGGGCGCGGUCUACGUGCCCGCGGGCCGCGGUGAUGCUGAGGCCAUGCAAGCCAUCGCCAAGUCCAUCGGGUGGGCCGUCCCCUCAUCCGCCCCGUGCGACGGCACCUGGAUGGGCGUGAGCUGCAACGAGAUCGGCCGCGUCACCUCCAUCGUCGUCACCCACGCCGGCCUCCACGGUGUUCUCAACGGAUCCGACCUAGGCAAGCUCACGUUCCUGUCCAACCUCGACCUCAGCUUCAACGGCCUUAUCGGCCACCUCCCGCUCCUGCCGACGCCUCACCAGCACCUCCGCAACAUCGAUCUCAGCUCCAACUCCUUGACAAGAAUCCUCGGCGGCUUCUUUGCCGCCCUGCCGGCCCUCGAGGCAAUCGCGCUCGACAACAACGACAUGCUACUAUUGUGGGAUCAGCGGGACCUUGUCACCUGCUCCGCCCUACGCAGCUUCUCCGCCAACAACGCCUCCGUAUAUGACAACUUCCCCAAUUUCUUCGGCGACGUCGCCUUGUUCCCCGCCCUCGCGAGGAACAGGAUGUCUGGGGCCGUCAGCACCGGUUUCGGCGCUAACAGCAAUAUCAAGUACCUAGAUGUCGGUGGCCAGCACAACGACCGAGAUAAGAUCACCGGCUGCCUCGACUUGUUCAUCCCCGACAUGGUCAACCUUGUGGAGGCUCACUUGGAUCACAGCGGCUUCUUCGGGCCCCUCCCAGAUGUUACCAAGCUUGUCAACCUCCGCGUCUUCGAUGCAUCCUACAACGACCUCUGUGGACACCCCAAGUUCGCCCCCGGGACGGCGGUCACCCUUGAUGGAAAUCCCAAUGUCGGAUUUGCAUGCUAG
Molecule: ribosomal RNA, 864 nt
Filed under: Triticum aestivum (bread wheat)
Lineage: Eukaryota; Viridiplantae; Streptophyta; Magnoliopsida; Poales; Poaceae
Description: partial small subunit ribosomal RNA
Source: RNAcentral